This 951-nucleotide ribosomal RNA is filed under the name bacterium enrichment culture clone AOM-SR-B73. RNAcentral describes it as "bacterial SSU rRNA". It matches the Rfam family "Bacterial small subunit ribosomal RNA", at positions 8 to 956 of the family's 1533-position model. The record is from RNAcentral.
AGAGUUUGAUCCUGGCUCAGAUUGAACGCUGGCGGUAUGCUUAACACAUGCAAGUCGAACGGUAACAGGCCUUCGGGCGCUGACGAGUGGCGGACGGGUGAGUAACGCGUAGGAAUCUGCCUCAUAGUGGGGGACAACUUGGGGAAACUCAAGCUAAUACCGCAUACGCCCUACGGGGGAAAGCGGGGGACCUUCGGGCCUCGCGCUAUGAGAUGAGCCUGCGUUAGAUUAGCUAGUUGGUGGGGUAAAGGCCUACCAAGGCGACGAUCUAUAGCUGGUCUGAGAGGACGAUCAGCCACACUGGGACUGAGACACGGCCCAGACUCCUACGGGAGGCAGCAGUGGGGAAUAUUGGACGAUGGGCGCAAGCCUGAUCCAGCAAUACCGCGUGUGUGAAGAAGGCCUGAGGGUUGUAAAGCACUUUCAAUUGGGAGGAAAACCUGUCGGUCAAUACCCGGCAGCUUGACAUUACCUUUAGAAGAAGCACCGGCUAACUCCGUGCCAGCAGCCGCGGUAAUACGGAGGGUGCGAGCGUUAAUCGGAAUUACUGGGCGUAAAGCGUGCGUAGGCGGUUAUUUAAGUCAGAUGUGAAAGCCCCGGGCUUAACCUGGGAACUGCAUUUGAUACUGGGUAACUAGAGUUUAGUAGAGGAGAGUGGAAUUUCAGGUGUAGCGGUGAAAUGCGUAGAGAUCUGAAGGAACACCAGUGGCGAAGGCGACUCUCUGGACUAAAACUGACGCUGAGGUACGAAAGCGUGGGUAGCAAACAGGAUUAGAUACCCUGGUAGUCCACGCCGUAAGCGAUGUCAACUAGCCGUUGGGCCUUUUAACAGGCUUAGUGGCGCAGCUAACGCAUUAAGUUGACCGCCUGGGGAGUACGGCCGCAAGGUUAAAACUCAAAUGAAUUGACGGGGGCCCGCACAAGCGGUGGAGCAUGUGGUUUAAUUCGAUG